RNAcentral lists this ribosomal RNA (288 nucleotides) under uncultured Eubacterium sp. RNAcentral describes it as "partial 16S ribosomal RNA". It matches the Rfam family "Bacterial small subunit ribosomal RNA", at positions 607 to 893 of the family's 1533-position model. The record is from RNAcentral. Lineage: Bacteria; Bacillati; Bacillota; Clostridia; Eubacteriales; Eubacteriaceae.
GCUUAACUCCAUUUCGGCAGUGGAAACUACGAGGCUUGAGUGUGGUAGGGGCAGAGGGAAUUCCCGGUGUAGCGGUGAAAUGCGUAGAUAUCGGGAAGAACACCAGUGGCGAAGGCGCUCUGCUGGGCCAUAACUGACGCUCAUGGACGAAAGCCAGGGGAGCGAAAGGGAUUAGAUACCCCUGUAGUCCUGGCCGUAAACGAUGAACACUAGGUGUCGGGGGAAUCGACCCCCUCGGUGUCGUAGCCAACGCGUUAAGUGUUCCGCCUGGGGAGUACGCACGCAAGU